RNAcentral lists this ribosomal RNA (228 nucleotides) under uncultured bacterium. Its description in RNAcentral is "partial 16S ribosomal RNA". It matches the Rfam family "Bacterial small subunit ribosomal RNA", at positions 524 to 749 of the family's 1533-position model. The record is from RNAcentral.
UACGUAGGGGGCAAGCGUUGUCCGGAUUUAUUGGGCGUAAAGAGCGUGUAGGCGGCCACACAGGUCAGCUGUGAAAACUCGAGGCUCAACCUCGAGACGUCGGUUGAAACCGUAUGGCUAGAGUCCGGAAGAGGAGAGUGGAAUUCCCGGUGUAGCGGUGAAAUGCGCAGAUAUCGGGAAGAACACCCGUGGCGAAGGCGGCUCUCUGGGACGGUACUGGACGCGUGA